AGCGAACGCUGGCGGCAGGCCUAACACAUGCAAGUCGAACGAACUCUUCGGAGUUAGUGGCGGACGGGUGAGUAACACGUGGGAACGUGCCUUUUGGUUCGGAAUAACUCAGGGAAACUUGUGCUAAUACCGAAUGUGCCCUUCGGGGGAAAGAUUUAUCGCCAUUAGAGCGGCCCGCGUCUGAUUCGCUAGUUGGUGAGGUAACGGCUCACCAAGGCGACGAUCAGUAGCUGGUCUGAGAGGAUGACCAGCCACACUGGGACUGAGACACGGCCCAGACUCCUACGGGAGGCAGCAGUGGGGAAUCUUGCGCAAUGGGCGAAAGCCUGACGCAGCCAGGCCGCGUGAAUGAUGAAGGUCUGAGGAUUGUAAAAUUCUUUCACCGAGGACGAUAAUGACGGUACCCGGAGAAGAAGCCCCGGCUAACUUCGUG
This 433-nucleotide ribosomal RNA is filed under the name uncultured bacterium. Its description in RNAcentral is "partial 16S ribosomal RNA". It matches the Rfam family "Bacterial small subunit ribosomal RNA", at positions 29 to 507 of the family's 1533-position model. The record is from RNAcentral.